AUGAACGCUGGCGGCGUGCCUAACACAUGCAAGUCGAACGGAGUUCUUAAGGAAUGCGACUUCGGUCAAAUGACUUUUGAACUUAGUGGCGGACGGGUGAGUAACGCGUGAGCAACCUGCCUUUCAGAGGGGGAUAACAUUUGGAAACAGAUGCUAAUACCGCAUAAGAUUACAGUACCGCAUGAUACAGUGAUCAAAGGAGCAAUCCGCUGAAAGAUGGGCUCGCGUCCGAUUAGAUAGUUGGUGAGGUAACGGCUCACCAAGUCGACGAUCGGUAGCCGGACUGAGAGGUUGAACGGCCACAUUGGGACUGAGACACGGCCCAGACUCCUACGGGAGGCAGCAGUGGGGAAUAUUGCACAAUGGGCGAAAGCCUGAUGCAGCAACGCCGCGUGAGGGAAGACGGUUUUCGGAUUGUAAACCUCUGUUUUCGGUGACGAACAAAUGACGGUAACCGAGUAGGAAGCCACGGCUAACUACGUGCCAGCAGCCGCGGUAAUACGUAGGUGGCAAGCGUUAUCCGGAAUUACUGGGUGUAAAGGGAGCGCAGGCGGGAUAGCAAGUCAGCUGUGAAAACUAUGGGCUCAACCCAUAAACUGCAGUUGAAACUGUUAUUCUUGAGUGGAGUAGAGGCAAGCGGAAUUCCGAGUGUAGCGGUGAAAUGCGUAGAUAUUCGGAGGAACACCAGUGGCGAAGGCGGCUUGCUGGGCUCUAACUGACGCUGAGGCUCGAAAGUGUGGGGAGCAAACAGGAUUAGAUACCCUGGUAGUCCACACUGUAAACGAUGAUUGCUAGGUGUGGGGGGUCUGACCCCCUCC
This 818-nucleotide ribosomal RNA is filed under the name uncultured bacterium. RNAcentral describes it as "bacterial SSU rRNA". It matches the Rfam family "Bacterial small subunit ribosomal RNA", at positions 29 to 842 of the family's 1533-position model. The record is from RNAcentral.